CCUACGGGUGGCAGCAGUGGGGAAUAUUGCACAAUGGGGGAAACCCUGAUGCAGCGACGCCGCGUGAAGGAAGAAGUAUUUCGGUAUGUAAACUUCUAUCAGCAGGGAAGAAAAUGACGGUACCUGACUAAGAAGCCCCGUCUAACUACGUGCCAGCAGCCGCGGCAAUACGUAGGGGGCAAGCGUUAUCCGGAUUUACUGGGUGUAAAGGGAGCGUAGGCGGUUUAGCAAGUCAGAAGUGAAAGCCCGGGGCUCAACUCCGGGACUGCUUUUGAAACUGUUGAACUAGAGUGCAGGAGAGGUAAGUGGAAUUCCUAGUGUAGCGGUGAAAUGCGUAGAUAUUAGGAGGAACACCAGUGGCGAAGGCGGCUUACUGGACUGUAAAUGACGCUGAGGCUCGAAAGCGUGGGGAGCAAACAGGAUUAGAUACCCCGGUAGUC
Molecule: ribosomal RNA, 440 nt
Filed under: uncultured bacterium
Lineage: Bacteria
Description: partial 16S ribosomal RNA
Rfam family: Bacterial small subunit ribosomal RNA
Source: RNAcentral